This 3384-nucleotide small RNA is filed under the name Pan troglodytes (chimpanzee). Its description in RNAcentral is "retained intron". The record is from RNAcentral. Lineage: Eukaryota; Metazoa; Chordata; Mammalia; Primates; Hominidae.
AGAACCCAGCCUCCAGUCCACACUCUGCGUGUUUUUGUGUCCUGCCAGGCACCGUGGUCUCAUCCGCCUGCACAGCUGAGUCCAGUGGGAGCUGAUGCCAUGACCCUCACCCUCUCAGUCCUGAUUUGCCUCGGGCUGAAUGUGGGCCCCAGGACCUGCGUGCAGGCAGGAGGGACUCCCAUGGGCCUGGGAGAGACAGAACCCACUGGAGCCUGGAGCCAAGGCCAAGUUCCACAUUCUAUCCACGGUGUAUGACAGUGCAGGGCGAUACCGCUGCUACUAUGAGACCCCUGCAGGCUGGUCAGAGCCCAGUGACCCCCUGGAGCUGGUGGCGACAGGAUUCUAUGCAGAACCCACUCUCUUAGCCCUGCCGAGUCCUGUGGUGGCCUCAGGAGGAAAUGUGACCCUCCAGUGUGAUACACGGGACGGACUUCUCACGUUUGUUCUUGUUGAGGAAGAACAGAAGCUCCCCAGGACCCUGUACUCACAGAAGCUCCCCAAAGGGCCAUCGCGGGCCCUGUUCCCUGUGGGUCCCGUGACCCCCAGCUUCAGGUGGAGGUUCAGAUGCUAUUACUAUUACAGGAAAAACCCUCAGGUGUGGUCGCACCCCAGUGACCUCCUGGAGAUUCUGGUCCCAGGCGUGUCUAGGAAGCCCUCCCUCCUGAUCCCGCAGGGCUCUGUCGUGGCCCGCGGAGGCAGCCUGACCCUGCAGUGUCGCUCUGAUGUCGGCUAUGACAGAUUUGUUCUGUACAAGGAGGGGGGACAUGACCUCGUCCAGGGCUCUGGCCAGCAGCCCCAGGCUGGGCUCUCCCAGGCCAACUUCACCCUGAGCCCUGUGAGCCGCUCCUACGGGGGUCAGUACAGAUGCUACGGUGCACACAACCUCUCCCCUAGGUGGUCGGCCCCCAGUGACCCCCUGGACAUCCUGAUCGCAGGACUGAUCCCUGACAGACCCUCCCUCUCGGUGCAGCCGGGCCCCACGGUGGCCUCAGGAGAGAACGUGACCCUGCUGUGUCAGUCAUGGCGUCAGAUAGACACUUUCUUUUUGACCAAGGAGGGGGCAGCCCAUCCCCCGCUGUGUCUAAAGUCAAAGUACCAGUUUUAUAAAUACCAGGCUGAAUUCUCCAUGAGUCCUGUGACCUCAGCCCGGGGUGGAACCUACCGAUGCUACAGCGCAAUCAGGUCCUACCCCCACCUGCUGUCCAGCCCUAGUUACCCCCUGGAGCUCGUGGUCUCAGGACCCUCUGGGGAUCCCAGCCUCUCACCUACAGGCUCCACCCCCACACCUGCAGGCCCUGAGGACCAGCCCCUCACCCCCACGGGGUUGGAUCCCCAGAGUGGUGAGUGGGGGCUCUGAGUGGGAGGUGGGCGGGGUCCAGGGGAGGCAGGGGUGGGUUCUGUCGUAGGUUCAGGCUCCUCUGGAGAUGGUGAAGUGCACAAGCCCUUCCCCUGCCUGGGCCUCAGUUUCUCCGAGUGUAAAGGAGAGAGGCCUGCACUGAUGGGAUUCUUCAGGGGACUGUCCUGUCCCACCGGCAGCAGUGAUGGUGACCUGGGGCAGGGGAGGGGAGCAGGGCCGUGGUUUGGGGCAUUCAGGCUCUCUCCCUGCAGCUCUGGGGCUCCGCUCAGGUGCAGAGAACGAGGGCUGCGGGUCAGACUCCUGGGUUCACUCCCCAGCUCUGCCGCAUCCCACCGUGGGCCCAGGCAGGUCAACUUUCUACUCUGACUCAGUUUCAGCAGCUGUAAACUGGCUCAGUCCCAUCCAGCUCACAGAACUGCUGCGAGGUGUAAGCAAAAUCAUGGGACCUGGCCCUGUACACAGCUCGGCAGGGGCACCGUCCUCCUGCUACCCUCAGCCCUUCCCAGAUACACACAGAGCCCCUAUCCAGACAGGUUCUGCAUGGGAGUAUGGGAACUUGGCAGAGUGGGAAACGGACCUGGCUGAGCUGGGGGUGAGAGCAAUGCAGGGUCCGUCCUGCACAACCCACUCCCUCUCCCAGGCCCUGCUGUGCUGGGGAAGGGAAGAUCGUAAGGAGGACACCAGCCCCAGAUGGAGACACUAGGACAGGCCCCUCCUGUCAAAUAGGAAACAGGUGUCCACCUGGUGGGGCAGCAGGAGGACAGCUGGGGAAAACACAAAGUCCCUGGUUCCCUUCCCAGACCUGCUUCUUCCAGGCUAGGGAGCCUGGGGCAGGCGAUUCCCCUCUCUGAGCCUCAGUUUGCUCCUCUGUGAAUUGGGGGGUUGGCAAUCCCAUGUUGCAUGACUGCUGUGAGGGUUGGAGCUCAUAAAGGAAAGACCUAGCUCGCGCCUGCACACAGAAGGUGCUCACAUCAAUGAUGUCAUCCCCAUUCCCAACGUCAUCACGCUCAAGGUCUGGGAAGGCACCUGGGGGUUGUGACUGGGGUCUCAGUGGCCUUCGUCCUGCUGCUGUUCCUCCUCCUCUUCCUCCUCCUCCGACAUCGGCAUCAGAGCAAACACAGGACAUCGGCCCAUUUCUACCGUCCUGCAGGGGCUGCGGGGCCAGAGCCCAAGGACCAGGUCCUGCAGAAGAGGGCCAGCCCAGUUGCUGACACCCAGGAGGAAAUUCUCAAUGCUGCUGUGAAGGACACACAGCCCAAGGACGGGGCGGAGAUGGACGCUCGGCAGAGCCCACGUGAUGAAGACCCCCAGGCAGUGACAUAUGCCGAGGUGAAACACUCCAGACCUAGGAGAGAAAUGGCCUCUCCUCCUUCCCCACUGUCUGGGGAAUUCCUGGACACAAAGGACACACAGGCAGAAGAGGACAGGCAGAUGGACACUCAGGUGAGUCCUUUCCUCUCCAGACCCCCAGGCCUCCCCGACCCCCACCACGUUCCUUCCCUCUCACUCUCCCCCGCUGCAGGCUGCUGCAUCUGAAGCCCCCCAGGAUGUGACCUACGCCCAGCUUCACAGCUUGACCCUCAGACGGGAGGCAACUGAGCCUCCUCCAUCCCAGGAAAGGGAACCUCCAGCUGAGCCCAGCAUCUACGCCCCCCUGGCCAUCCACUAGCCCACGGGGGACCCAGAUCUCACACUCAACAGGAGACUCAGGUACUCCAGAAGGCAGAGGAGCUGCCCCCAGUGGACACCAAUGAACCCCAGCCAGCCUGGACCCCUAACAAAGACCACCAGGACAUCCUGGGAACUCUGGGACUCACUAGAUUCUGCAGUCAAAGAUGACUAAUAUCCUUGCAUUUUUGAAAUGAAGCCACAGACUUCUCAAUAAAUCAAUGAGCUGAGAAAACUGAAACAGAAAUUAGAGCAUGGUAUAAAUUUGGAAUGAUAAUGUAAAUAUUACACAUUAAAUGAUGAAAUCAGAAAACUACAAAUGAGCGAAUGAAUUAGAAAAGAAUAAAACCUACGUAAUU